This is a long non-coding RNA of Marmota monax (woodchuck), 1451 nucleotides long. RefSeq lists it as uncharacterized. Lineage: Eukaryota; Metazoa; Chordata; Mammalia; Rodentia; Sciuridae. The transcript has 2 exons. The record is from RefSeq and is a predicted model, not a curated record.
AGCAGGUGGGUGGGUCUUGAUACAGCGGAGACGGUUUCGAGAACUCGUGUCCCCCAGACGAGUCCCCGGGGUGCGCCCCGCGGUCGGACAGCCAGGAGAGGGGGGUGACUCCCGGGCCACCUCGCCGGAGCCCUCGCAGGCUUGGCCAGGUGGCCACGCUCUCCUGGAGGGCAGUCGUUGCCGACCAGAGGCGACAGCGCACUAGAGGGAGAGAGUGCAGUUUGCGCAGUGGACGUGAACGGAGCUGAGCUCCCGGCCCGGGCACCUGUGGAGGUGGGAAGACGCUGGGGACAGCCCCAAGCCCGAGCCCGGGGAGCGCCCAGCGGGGGACGGGGCCGGGGCGUGCAUCUGGAGCAUCUGCAGCCGGCUCUUGAGCAAUCGAGCGCUUAGAUUUCUCACGGAGAUGUGCCCGAGCUGGCAGCCACACCAGGUGUAGAGUCACCUUCCUGCGCCUGGAGCGGUGGCCCUGGAUCUGGUUUUGUUUCGACUUGAUUUUUUUUUUUCCUGUUCCGACUUAUCCUUAGCAGGAGCCAAGAACACAAAGGAUUCUCUUAACCCUACCGUUGUGUUUCUCGGGGAAUACCCUCCAGGACCGGGGACUGGCAAGGCGGUGAGCCCCAAGUCCCUGCGGGUGGAUUUGUUCCACGCCCCACAGCGGAAGGUGCUGUACAGACGACGUGCCGGUUCCUCGUGGGUCUAACCCAUUCAGGUCCUUCCCACAGGGAGGCCCUUAUCUGAAGGGCUGGACCGCCUAAGUGCGGCCCGCAGGGUGAAGCCUGGCAGAGGUGGCACCUGAAUCAGGAGAGGACACUCCUGUGUGCCCUUGUCUCCGGAUGAAGGCUGCAGUUUGUUGGAGUGAGCUUCUUUCGCAGCUGGAGGCUUUGGACUUACAACAUGCCCUAGAGCAGAUCUUUUUCCCCAGCUAUUCCCAGCCAGGAAGUCAGAUCCACACCUUGGGACAGACUCCCAGGAAGAUGGGGCAGGCCAAGGAUCCGCUGCGUCCUACUCAGGUGACCCUGACAGACACGGGGGGUUUUCGAGUUGCUGAAGUAGAGAGCAGCACAGAGGUCAUUCUUUCUUUUUCUUUUUCUUUCUUUCUUUUUUUUAGUACCAGUUAUUAAACCCAGGGUUAUAGAACCCUAGUGCUUAACCACUGAACCACAUCCCCAGACCUUUUCAUUUCUUAUUUUGAGACAGAGUUGCUUAGGUUCUUAGGACUUCAGUAAAUUGCUGAGGCUGGCCUCAAACUUGCAAUCCUCCUGCCUCAGCCUCCCCAGUCACUGUGAUUGCAGGUGAUGGCACCUCAAGGGCACUGGGACUUUCUGCCAAGUCCUGACCAUGUUUGAGCCUGUGGUGUUCCUGCUGAUCUGCCCACUCCCCUGUGGGUAGAGGAUGCCAGAUAUCCUCAUUUCUUCAAAUAAAAGAUGAAAUAAAACAAAAGUUUUUGAGAA